Molecule: ribosomal RNA, 701 nt
Filed under: uncultured archaeon
Lineage: Archaea
Description: bacterial SSU rRNA
Rfam family: Archaeal small subunit ribosomal RNA
Source: RNAcentral
GCUUAUUGGGAUUCGACUAAGCCAUGCGANUCGUGAGGGUUCGGCCCUCGGCGAACGGCUCAGUAACACGUAGAUAAUUUGCCCUUAGGUGGAGGAUACCCUCGGGAAACUGAGAAUAAUACUCCAUAGAUUUAGAAUGCUGGAAUGCUUUUAAAUUGAAAGAUUUAUCGCCUAAGGAUAAGUCUGCGGACUAUCAGGUCGUAGUUAGGGUAAAUACCCGACUAGCCUACGACGGAUACGGGUUGUGAGAGCACUAGCCCGGAGAUGGUAUCUGAGACACGAUAUCAGGCCCUACGGGGCGCAGCAGGCGCGAAAACUUCGCACUGUGCGAAAGCGCGACGAGGGAAUCCCAAGUGCUGGCUCGUAAGAGUCAGCUGUUUCUUUGUCUCCCCCCCGGAGAGAGUAAGAGCUGGGUAAGACGGGUGCCAGCCGCCGCGGUAAUACCUGCAGCUCAAGUGGUGGCCGUUAUUAUUGGGCCUAAAACGUCCGUAGCCGGUUCUAUAAAUGCCUGGGUAAAUCGUACGGCUUAACCGUACGAAUUCCGGGUAGACUGUUCAACUUGGGACCGGGAGAGGCUAGAGGUACUCCUGGGGUGGAGGUGAAAUUCUGUAAUCCUAGGGGGACCACCAGUGGCGAAGGCGUCUAGCUAGAACGGGUCUGACGGUGAGGGACGAAGCCCUGGGGAGCAACCGGGAUUAAAU